GUACACUCCUACGGGAGGCAGCAGUGGGGAAUUUUGGACAAUGGGCGAAAGCCUGAUCCAGCAAUGCCGCGUGAGUGAAGACGGCCUUCGGGUUGUAAAGCUCUUUUGUCAGGGAAGAAACGGUGAGAGCUAAUAUCUCUUGCUAAUGACGGUACCUGAAGAAUAAGCACCGGCUAACUACGUGCCAGCAGCCGCGGUAAUACGUAGGGUGCAAGCGUUAAUCGGAAUUACUGGGCGUAAAGCGUGCGCAGGCGGUUUUGUAAGUCUGAUGUGAAAUCCCCGGGCUCAACCUGGGAAUUGCAUUGGAGACUGCAAGGCUAGAAUCUGGCAGAGGGGGGUAGAAUUCCACGUGUAGCAGUGAAAUGCGUAGAUAUGUGGAGGAACACCGAUGGCGAAGGCAGCCCCCUGGGUCAAGAUUGACGCUCAUGCACGAAAGCGUGGGGAGCAAACAGGAUUAGAUACCCCUGUAGUCCC
RNAcentral lists this ribosomal RNA (474 nucleotides) under uncultured organism. RNAcentral's name for it is "partial 16S ribosomal RNA". It matches the Rfam family "Bacterial small subunit ribosomal RNA", at positions 331 to 797 of the family's 1533-position model. The record is from RNAcentral.